Molecule: ribosomal RNA, 549 nt
Filed under: uncultured Glomus
Lineage: Eukaryota; Fungi; Glomeromycota; Glomeromycetes; Glomerales; Glomeraceae
Description: SSU rRNA
Rfam family: Eukaryotic small subunit ribosomal RNA
Source: RNAcentral
UUGCGAGGGCAAGUCUGGUGCCAGCAGCCGCGGUAAUUCCAGCUCCAAUAGCGUAUAUUAAAGUUGUUGCAGUUAAAAAGCUCGUAGUUGAAUUUCGGGGUCAGCAGGUUGGUCGUGCCUCUGGUACGCACUGGUUUCGCUGAUUCCUCCUUUCUGAAGAACUGUAAUGUCAUUAAUUUGGUGUUGCAGGGAAACAGGACUGUUACUUUGAAAAAAUUAGAGUGUUUAAAGCAAGCUAACGCUUGAAUACAUUAGCAUGGAAUAAUGAAAUAGGACGUUUGAUCCUAUUUUGUUGGUUUCUAGGAUUGACGUAAUGAUUAAUAGGGAUAGUUGGGGGCAUUAGUAUUCAAUUGUCAGAGGUGAAAUUCUUGGAUUUAUUGAAGACUAACUACUGCGAAAGCAUUUGCCAAGGAUGUUUUCAUUAAUCAAGAACGAAAGUUAGGGGAUCGAAGACGAUCAGAUACCGUCGUAGUCUUAACCAUAAACUAUGCCGACUAGGGAUCGGAUGAUGUUAAUUUUUUAAUGACUCAUUCGGCGCCUUACGGGAAA